AAAAAAAUGUCCCUACAACCAAACCAGCCCCUAGUCAGUGGUGUGCCACUACACGGUCAGGGAUGCUCCGCAUCCGGCUUCCAUGGGUGGAGUACCGGGAUCGGCUGUUCUACAGGCUGAUGGCAAUCAACAACCACCCAGGUAUCCAGAUAUUAUAGAAAUGGGGAAGAGGGAUAGAACUAGAUUUAAAGGAGUAUGCGGUAGCUGGAGCUACCAAAGAAACUCAGCCUGGUUCAGUACCCGCAGGUGAUCCUGGUUAUGAGAUUGACAUUGGUGAGAAUGUUAAGAACUCUCUACCGGUUACUUCUUUUAUGAAAAGCUGUGACAAAUCUUCUUGUAGAAGACCAGGCUAUAAAUGUGCAGCUAGUGGUCAGGCAAUAAAUGCUGGGGAGUUGUAUACAAUUUGCACUGAGGGGUUUGAUUGGAUUAGUUCUGGUGACACCAACACCUUCAACUUCUUCCAGGUAUGUUUGAAUUGUUCUACAAACCAAUGAACUGAUUAGUUGGAGAAUCUUGCUAUUGGACAAUUCAAAUCUUAAUAUAUUUUAAAUUGGGUGGUUGUUUUGAAUUCACUUGUGUUUCUGACAAUACUUUGGUGGCUGAUGGAGGUCACAUGGAAUCUCAACAAGUGUUAAAAAGGCCCCGGCAUUUUCAUUGUCAAAGGGAGAAGACAAGCUCUUUCAGGCCACAGGUGUCAUCUUUGCAUCCAAGUGUUGUUACUGAAGGUCAUGGAAGGCUAAGAUGUCCAAGAAUGUGUCAUCUAUCGCACCAACAAAGGACACAUUUGCUUUAUCCCUUUGCAAGCAAAUCAGUCAGACAAAUAUCGAGCUAUCAUAAUGGAAAGGGUGAAAUGGAGAAGCUAGUGAUUUCAGAAGGUUAGAAGAACCUGAACGAAGAUGACAGUGCUACACCAAGACCCAAGGGUUCAGAAGGUGAUUGUGCUUCACUGCAUGUUGAAAAUGACACAGCUGAAUCAGUGCCCAAUGUUGAAGAUGACAACACUGAAGUGCAGGUUAAUGUUGAUGGAACAACUGAAGAUAGCUCUGGACUUAUGAUUGCUGCUGAAGAUCUGCAAACAUUCCAUAUCACUGUUGGUAAUUGUGAACAGAUGAUGGCAAAGAAUAGAUGCUGAGUUAAAAGAAGUGGAGUCCAGGGUGGGCGAUUUCGAGAACAGAUACAAAAAGGUCACGAUACUUUACUUUCAUCAAGAGCCUUGAUUUUACCCAAAGAUUUGAAAGAUCCAUCUACCUUGUUUUCACACCAUCAAGUCUUUAACAUUAUGAACUUAAAUCCAACUUACCUGAGCUCAUUUGACAUCAUGCAAUAUGAUGAUGGUGCAAGACCUGAAAAAGAGUUGGAAUUUUUCUUGAAACAUUUGGUUGACAAGAGGGUUUGUAUUGUUGAAGAUAUUGAUAACACAAUCUCUACUGUGGAGACACUAAUGUAUGACCACGGCAUCAAAGGGACGGAAGAUGGCACAGAUGAUGAAAUCUAUAAAGGUGAAUGUGAUGCCUCUUUUGAAGGCACCACAGCUAGGCUCUCAUUUAUUCUCUGGAAGGGCAACGAGAUCAUCCACACAGAGGUCUACUCAGAAUUCAAAUGCAAAUCAGCAACCGAGGCUAAAGCUUACGCUGCUUUUGCCCUACUCUUAAAAGCACGCGAAAUGAAGAUAUUAAAGCUACUUUUAUGCUCUGAUUCCAAGACUGUAUGUCAGAUUCUGAGUGGCGAACUAAGCUAUGACAGGGAAACAUUUGAUCUCGUUAAACUUUCGCUGAUGCUUAGAUCAAUGAGAAAACACUUUGAUAAGGUUAUAGUGAUGUGGAAGCCUCGGCAGCUUAUGAUCUUUGCUGAUGAUCUUUCUAAAGCUAGUGACAGACCAAUUGCAUCCCCAACGUUCCAAGAUCUCACUUUGAAAAGGUGGUCGCACCAUUUACAAGGGCUGCCUGUUUUUAGAAUUGAGCGCACGACUGCUACACAAAACACGGUUAAAAAAUUUGAUAUGGCUUGUUGUAUAUUUUAUCUUUAUUAUUUGGGUUAUUUUUCUAUUCAAUUAUUGUUCUUAACAGUUUGUAUUUUCUGCUGCAACUAAUCUCAAAGUUGACGAAUCAUAUGGAAAAAAAUGAGAAGACAAUCUUUUUUGUUGAAGCAGAAGAACAAUCUAAGAUAGACUAUUUAGUAGGUCUUCAAUAGGCGUUUAAGCCCAUUGACUUGGAAGUAUGUGUCUCUGACUUUUGUGAUAAAGCAGAUGACUUCAAAAGAGAGUUACAAAGAAUUUGUGGACCUUCUUAUUUUAAGUGUGAAAGAUACAGUUUUUUUCAAGAGUUCUACUCUCGGAGGAAUAUGUGGUUUGUCCUUUGAGGGUAAGAGGCCUUUGAUGGUGGUUUUUGAUGCUUCCAUUCCAAAAUAAGUAUAUUAUAUGGAUUCCGCGUACCAUGUUAUCUUGGCAACACCUGAGGAACGGGAAGGUCUAGAGAAAAAGAAGAUUGAAGAAUUGAAUGCCCUAACAUUUAUGUAUUAUAAUGGAGUGAGAUUUGCUUUGAAUGACGAACAAAAAGGUGUGGGAGGGCAAAAUGUGAGAGGUGAGUAAUUGUGCAUUGUACUUUCUGGAUAUGAGUUGGGUUUUAUCUUGCAGUAAAUGUUAUCUGAUUCACAUUAGUACUAAUUUCUCUAGCAUAUUACUUCAAAUAGUUGGAACAUUCUUGUUCUCAUUUUAAGUUUGUUGAAGUGCUGAGAAUUCGGUGCUACAAAUAUUAUAUCGAAGUGUUGUACAUUCUUUUAAUGCCUUUUUCUGGAGUCAUGGAUAUGUUGAUUCUGAUUGCUAAUUUCUAGUUGCUGAUGUAGUUGCUUAUGCAGCAGUGCAUCUUAAGUUUUCUUUGCUAUUGAUAUUGAGACUGGUGUUUUUAGUAUGUAUGAACUGACAAUCUUUUUCUAUUGAGUGAUUAAUUGCUGGAGUUGCAUGUUUUUAGUAGAAUCUGAUGUCUAAUUUCUAGUUGCUUGUGUGCCAAAGUUUCUUAUAGCGGUGCAGCUUAAGUUCUCUUUACUAUUGCAUUUUUUUGUAGACUGGACAUGUUUUUCAGUAUUGAUAACUGACAAUCUUGUUCUAUUGAGGCUAGUAAGCAUUUUUUUUUUGUCAUCUAUGAACUCACCAUCAUUCUCCACAGUAGAUGUGUUGCUAUAAAGUAUCCCAAAUUAUUUUCCUAUGAAGAUUAUGCUAUUCCUGUUCCACAACUGCUAUUGAGGCUGACAUGUGUUUUGAGUUACUAUGAACUGAUUCAAGUAAUUGUCUUGCAGUAAACUAUUGGUGCACCGCAAGUAAUCUCCUCUUUUUUUUGCCUUGUGCCUUAGCAGAAUCAUUUCUUACCAUCAUGUUCUAAUUAUGUUUGUGAUAGAAAAAUCAUUAUACUAUGCAUUCUGGAAUCCAUUUAUGUACCGCCUUUUGCUUAUUUGAUUUACUCUUUUUUGCCCAUAUGAGUGAGAUUGUUUAUUUUUGCUGUGACCAAUGCAGACUGAGAACAUUUUGUCUUUGGAGAGGAAACUCUGAAUUUUAUCUACAAUGUCCUAGAAAGCUUGCUUUCUGAGGCAUUUAAGUUUUGAUUCUGGGGCUAAGACAACACCAUCUUUAGGUAUUUCAUUUAGGGAUACAGUUCUCUAGAGUGGUUUUUGGUGCAUGUGGCCACUAAUCCAGUGUCAGAUUUUCAGUUGGUAUACUGCUUAAACUAAAACUAGAGCAUUUACUCUCUAGAUUAGUUUGUCACCUGAAUUCUGCUUCCGAAUUUCAAACCAUCCAGUGGUGUUGAAGACAGCGAUCUCUUGCUGAGCUCAGUUAGUGUAAUGGCCACACAAGGUCACCUAUGUUUAAAUUGAUAUGUUCAGUCUAACAGUUUAAACCCGUGGAAUUCAAAUGGGUGGGCGACUUUGCAA
Long non-coding RNA from Panicum virgatum (switchgrass), 3921 nucleotides. RefSeq lists it as uncharacterized. NCBI's taxonomy places the organism in Eukaryota, Viridiplantae, Streptophyta, Magnoliopsida, Poales, Poaceae. The record is from RefSeq and is a predicted model, not a curated record. The transcript has 6 exons.